UGGGUGAUCUGCCCUGCACUUUGGGAUAAGCCUGGGAAACUGGGUCUAAUACCGAAUACACCCUGCUGGUCGCAUGGCCUGGUGGGGGAAAGCUUUUGCGGUGUGGGAUGGGCCCGCGGCCUAUCAGCUUGUUGGUGGGGUGAUGGCCUACCAAGGCGACGACGGGUAGCCGGCCUGAGAGGGCGACCGGCCACACUGGGACUGAGACACAGCCCAGACCUCCGUACGGGAGG
RNAcentral lists this ribosomal RNA (233 nucleotides) under uncultured bacterium. Its description in RNAcentral is "partial 16S ribosomal RNA". It matches the Rfam family "Bacterial small subunit ribosomal RNA", at positions 118 to 347 of the family's 1533-position model. The record is from RNAcentral.